RNAcentral lists this ribosomal RNA (440 nucleotides) under uncultured bacterium. Its description in RNAcentral is "bacterial SSU rRNA". It matches the Rfam family "Bacterial small subunit ribosomal RNA", at positions 338 to 795 of the family's 1533-position model. The record is from RNAcentral.
CCUACGGGUGGCAGCAGUGGGGAAUAUUGCACAAUGGGCGAAAGCCUGAUGCAGCCAUGCCGCGUGAAUGAUGAAGGCCUUAGGGUUGUAAAAUUCUUUCGCUAGGGAUGAUAAUGACAGUACCUAGUAAAGAAGCCCCGGCUAACUUCGUGCCAGCAGCCGCGGUAAUACGAAGGGGGCUAGCGUUGUUCGGAAUUACUGGGCGUAAAGCGCACGUAGGCGGGUUAUUAAGUCAGAUGUGAAAUCCCAAGGCUCAACCUUGGAACUGCAUUUGAAACUGAUAGCCUAGAGAUCAGGAGAGGUUAGCGGAAUACCGAGUGUAGAGGUGAAAUUCGUAGAUAUUCGGUGGAACACCAGUGGCGAAGGCGGCUAACUGGACUGAUACUGACGCUGAGGUGCGAAAGUGUGGGGAGCAAACAGGAUUAGAUACCCUGGUAGUC